Molecule: ribosomal RNA, 505 nt
Filed under: uncultured bacterium
Lineage: Bacteria
Description: partial 16S ribosomal RNA
Rfam family: Bacterial small subunit ribosomal RNA
Source: RNAcentral
GACGAACGCUGGCGGCGUGCCUAAUACAUGCAAGUAGAACGCACAGUUUAUACCGUAGCUUGCUACACCAUAGACUGUGAGUUGCGAACGGGUGAGUAACGCGUAGGUAACCUGCCUGGUAGCGGGGGAUAACUAUUGGAAACGAUAGCUAAUACCGCAUAAUAUUGAUUAUUGCAUGAUAAUUGAUUGAAAGAUGCUAUUGCAUCACUACCAGAUGGACCUGCGUUGUAUUAGCUAGUAGGUGAGGUAACGGCUCACCUAGGCGACGAUACAUAGCCGACCUGAGAGGGUGAUCGGCCACACUGGGACUGAGACACGGCCCAGACUCCUACGGGAGGCAGCAGUAGGGAAUCGUCGGCAAUGGACGAAAGUCUGACCGAGCAACGCCGCGUGAGUGAAGAAGGUUUUCGGAUCGUAAAGCUCUGUUGUAAGAGAGGAACGGGUGUGAGAGUGGAAAGUUCACACUGUGACGGUAUCUUACCAGAAAGGGACGGCUAACUACGUG